GCUCAUUACCUGGUUCUGUGACUAGAGGGAAGGCCCCCCCUGCAAAGAAAGUUUUCUUCAACAGUGUCUCCCCAUAUUUGUAACCCGGUAUGGUGUAGAUCCCUAUACAGCCUCUGAGUAUGUGAUUUUUUUGUUAAUUAUUAGUUUAAUUAUGCUGCUUUGUAAAGGUUGCCUCAUAAUUUGUGAGUAAAGGAAUUCACAGAUAAAAUACAGCAGUGCAAUGAAGAGAAGGCCCGGUUUUUAGUGCCGGUUUUGCAAGUAAUAGCCUGGUGACUGUUAGCAAGUCACUUCAUCUUCCUCUGUCUCAGCAUCUCAUCUGUAAAAUGAUGAAGAUAAUAUCUGCCAGCCUAAUUAAGAGUUGUAAGGCUCAAGUAAAAGAAUAGCAAGGAAAGUGCUUUAUAAACUGUCAGUCACUAUACAAAUAGAAAUGAUGAAUGCUGGUAGAGAAUUGUGGAAAUAUACUGGAGGCAUUAAAAGCUUAUAAUAAAUGCUUUCACUUCUCAAAAAUCUUGCCUAUCCAGACUAAACCUAGGUAUCUUUAUUAUAACCCAGUUCCUUAAAUCCCAGUCUGAGCUUGAACUUGAAAUGUUCUGGGAUAACUAGAAUCUAAAAAAUUGAGUUUUAGGGAGUUCCCAUCGUUGCUGCCGANGCGUGUUUUUUUGAGAAAUUUUUGUAAGUAUUUGUAAACAUAUUUCCGAAGUCCUCUAUAAGCUUCUUAAGGUCAGGAAUCAUAUUUCUUAGGUCUUUGUUUUCCUAGUAAUUGGCAAGCUCAGUGCUCAGAACUCAAGAGAGGCUUGUGGAAUACAUUUGAACUAAAGAAUGUUUCUUUUAGUCAUGUUAAGGCUUUUCAUGUUUCUUUUCCUAACAGAAUAUUAGAGUUUGCCCCCUGAUGCUGUGCUCUUCACUUUUUAAUCACACUCCUUAUUUUGAAAAUAAGUUUCUAUUAUGUACCCGUGAAUUAAAUCUUUUCUUUUAAUACUGUAGUUCCGGGGUAGAACAUAUUGAUAUUGUAAUAAUGUUGUUUCCCACAGUUAGGAAGUGCCACAAUGAUGUAGUUUCACCCUUUGAGCUGAAUAGGGCCAUACUUUAAAAAAUGUGUAUUUUUAAUUGAGGUUUCAAUCACAUAACAAUUAAAUUUUCCAUCUUAAACAUUUUGAAGUGUAUAGUUCAGUAGCGUUGCACAGUGGACUCUAGAACAUUUUCACCUUGCAAAACUCAAAUUCUAAGCCUGUUAAACACUAGUUUCUCCUCCUUUCUACAUGCUGUUUCUGUGAUUUUGGCUAUUUCAGAUACUUCAUAGACAAGUAUUUUUAAAAGAUACGUUGAUGCAUUAGUUUUUAUUUAUGUCUUUCAAAGUCAUAUUGCAAAUCUGGAUCAUGUAACACUAAUGAUGUUUUCAUUCUGAUUCAUAUACGACAAAACCAGAUACUAAUUUUCUUUAAGAAGCAUCAGGAAUUUUUCCUUGCUAAAGGUAAACAGUAAGACAAUGAGUGAAAAACACAUUUUCUAUCAUUUGUAAAGGAGUUGGUUCUAUUCUAAAGCAAACGAGGUUUAGGUAAGGAAAGAAACAACAUGAUAUAUAUUUUUAAAAAUGCCUCUUGUCAAAGAGCCGCUUUAAUUGGAAAGCUCUUUCUUUUCUAAGGGGAUUGUAGAAACCAUCUUUUCACUUUUGCAGAUAAGAAUGGGAUCGCUAGAUCGGUGGUUCUCAAACUUGAGUAACAGAAUCACCAGGAGAGCUGCUAGGCCAAACCUCCAGAGCUGCUGACUCAGUAGGUUAGGAGAAAAACCUGAGGCGUUGCCUUUUAACAAGUUCCCAGGUGAUGCUGCUGAUGCUCUGGGCCGAAGGACCACAACUGGAGAACUCUUGGUCUGGAGCAGUGCUUCCCAGGAUACUCCCUGAGGUACUUCCAGAUCGUUUGUUAAGACCUGUCUGAUGGGUUUGAAAAUGACCUUCUGGUUGCAUGUGAAAGACUCCUUGUGAUCCUGCCUUCAAAUAGCUGCUUUCAACCUUGUUUCCAGUAUUUCCUAAAGUUUCCUAAAUUGACAUGAUUGCAGAACCAUCUUUUUACGAACAUCUGUUACCUUUUGCGGGGCCCUGAUACUCUAUUGCGUAAUUUGAAAGGUGCUCUUUAGGAUAAAAAACUAAUAAAGUAUAAGGUUCAGUGUUAUGGCUGAGAGUAUAAGGUCCUAAAAUUCAUGGCGAGGCGGGGCAGUGGGUGAUUCAUCUCUCUGCCUUAUCUUUCAGUGAUUUAACUCCAUGUCCUAAUGUGGAGAGGAAGAAAAAGGAUUUGUUAAAUCCAGUACUUUAAGGUCCUUCAGAGAUAGUAAAGACAAGGAAAUCAAACAAAACUUGGCUUCCUUUUACUGCCGUGUUUGAGGCUUGUAAGGAAAAGUUCUGUCACCGUAUCUGAAAUGAAUUGUUGGGUUUUUGGUUAUGAUCUGUGUACAUUUCACAGUCAUAGACCCACACAGAUGGGUUGAAUGUAGGACCGUUGAGGCAAAUGCCCAGGCCGAUGGCAAAAUGGAGAGGCUUAAUGACACCUGUCUGAGUGUGAAAUGUACCAGGCGGCCUGCCCUAGACGGGAGUACCAAGGCGGUCAUUAAACGCGUCUGUGGUUAUCCUGUGGGUCCCCUGAAUGGGUCUUUUCACCCGUGUGCCUGAGGUGAGAUUUCUGCCCGUGGUUAGCAUCCUCCAGAGGCCUCAGGCUCACACGUGGAAGGAGGGGACCAAAGCGCUCCCUCUAGGAACGUCUCUCCCAGAAACCGUCUUCCUGUUCCGGCUGGACCUUUGUUAAUUCCCUCAGCAAACUCAGCUUUGCAAACAUCCCAUUCCUUGAAUGCAUAUGAUAAUCUCCUGUUUGAGGAUUUUUUUUAACCACUCCAAAAAAAAAAAAAA
This 2896-nucleotide long non-coding RNA is filed under the name Sus scrofa (pig). RNAcentral describes it as "lncRNA (ENSSSCG00035063646.1)". Lineage: Eukaryota; Metazoa; Chordata; Mammalia; Artiodactyla; Suidae. The record is from RNAcentral.